This 1407-nucleotide ribosomal RNA is filed under the name Triticum aestivum (bread wheat). RNAcentral describes it as "partial small subunit ribosomal RNA". Lineage: Eukaryota; Viridiplantae; Streptophyta; Magnoliopsida; Poales; Poaceae. The record is from RNAcentral.
AUGGGAGGAAGGGGUGGCGACCCCCAAACAGGGCCGCUGCUGGAGAAGCUCCCGGAGUCCUCUCGCAGUUCAUCCGAGGAGCAUCCGGUCAAAAGAACCGGCACGGUAUGGACGGCGUCCGCGCACAUCAUCACGGCGGUGGUCGGCUCCGGCGUGCUGUCGCUGGCGUGGAGCGUGGCCCAACUCGGCUGGGUCAGCGGGCCGACGGCCAUCGUGUUCUUCGCGGGGGUCACCGUGGUGCAGUCCUCCCUGCUCGCCGAAUGCUACAUUUCUCGAGGAGAUCCGGAGCGUGGCAGCGGCGUCAGGAACAAGUCUUACAUGGACGCCGUGAAGUUUUACCUAGGUGAGAAGAGACAGAUGUUGAGCGGAUUUUUCCUUAGCAUCAGCCUGUUUGGGAGUGGCGUGGUGUACACUCUCACCACAGCCACUAGUAUGAGGGCGAUUCAUGAAGCGAAUCGCUACGGCCGGGAAGGCCGAGGCGCACCGUUCUCCACCGCCGCCGCCGGGGGCUCAGACGUCUACUACAUGCUCCUGUUCGGCCUCGCGCAGGCAGUGCUGUCGCAGAUACCGGACUUCCACAACAUGGCUUGGCUCUCCGUCUUCGCCGCAGUCAUGUCCUUCUUCUACUCCUUCGUCGGCUUCGGCCUCGGCGCCGCCAAGGUGAUCGAGAAUGGGGUGAUCAUGGGGGGAAUCGGAGGCAUUCCCCUGGUAUCCCCGAUGCAGAAGGUGUGGCGCGUCGCACAGUCCCUAGGCGACAUCGCCUUCGCCUACCCUUACACCUUGGUGCUGCUGGAAAUAGAGGACACGCUGAGGUCGCCGCCGGCGGAGAGCAAGACGAUGAAGAAGGCUUCGAGGGCCAGCAUCGCGAUCACCACCUUCUUCUACCUCGGCUGCGGGUGCUUCGGCUACGCGGCGUUCGGCGACGGCACGCCGGGGAACCUCCUCACCGGCUUCGGCGAGCCCUACUGGCUCAUCGACCUCGCCAACCUCUCCGUCGUCCUCCACCUCCUCGGCGGCUACCAGCUGUACAGCCAGCCGGCGUUCGCGCUCGUGGAACGACGCUUCGGAGCCGAGGCCUGGGCCGUCGAGGUGGAGCUGCCGCUGCUCCGCUGGCGGCGCAGCGUCAACGUGUUCAGGCUGUGCUUCCGUACGGCGUACGUUGUGGCCGUGACGGCGAUGGCCGUGUGGUACCCCUACUUCAACCAGGUGGUGGGGCUCAUCGGCGCCUUCACCUUCUGGCCGCUGGACAUCCACUUCCCCGUCGAGAUGUACCUUGCGCAGAACAAGGUGGCGCCGUGGACGACGCGGUGGCUCGCCAUUCAGGCCUUCCGCGCCACCUGCCUGCUCGUCGCCGCCUUCGCCUCGGUUGGCUCCGCCGUGGGGGUGUUCGGCCCCAACAAAGGCUAG